Molecule: ribosomal RNA, 462 nt
Filed under: uncultured Oleispira sp.
Lineage: Bacteria; Pseudomonadati; Pseudomonadota; Gammaproteobacteria; Oceanospirillales; Oceanospirillaceae
Description: bacterial SSU rRNA
Rfam family: Bacterial small subunit ribosomal RNA
Source: RNAcentral
AGAGUUUGAUCCUGGCUCAGAUUGAACGCUGGCGGCAGGCCUAACACAUGCAAGUCGAGCGAUAACGGUCUUCGGACUUAUUAAAGCGGCGGACGGGUGAGUAACGCGUGGGAAUCUACCCAGUAGUGGGGGACAACAGUUGGAAACGACUGCUAAUACCGCAUAAUGUCUACGGACCAAAGGAGGGGAUUCUUCGGAACCUUUCGCCUUUUGAUUAGCCCAAGUGAGAUUAGCUAGUAGGUAAGGUAAUGGCUUACCUAGGCGACGAUCUCUAGCUGGUUUGAGAGGAUGAUCAGCCACACUGGGACUGAGACACGGCCCAGACUCCUACGGGAGGCAGCAGUGGGGAAUAUUGCACAAUGGGCGAAAGCCUGAUGCAGCCAUGCCGCGUGUGUGAAGAGGCUUCGGGUGUAAAGCACUUUCAGUGGAGGAAGGGGGUAGUAUAGCUGCUCACUGUGACGU